CAAUAUCACAGAUCCGUGGUACUCAAGAGAGGCAACUCUGUGGUGUAACUUCUACUCCAAAGUCCCCUUGCCAGGCUAUCUGUAGAAGAAACAAAUGCCCCUGCACAAGUAGUGAGCUCACCAUCAGCAAAAGUGUUCAAGCUCAACUUGGUUAACCACAUCUCCAGAGUGCUACAACAAAGCUCUGCAACCCAGUGGAGACUGGGAUCAGGUGAGAGAAUCCCUAAGCUUCCUUUCAAAAAUUCCAUGAUUAAGUCUGAGACUUUU
RNAcentral lists this long non-coding RNA (267 nucleotides) under Chinchilla lanigera (long-tailed chinchilla). RNAcentral's name for it is "lncRNA (ENSCLAG00000029064.1)". The record is from RNAcentral. Lineage: Eukaryota; Metazoa; Chordata; Mammalia; Rodentia; Chinchillidae.